This 253-nucleotide ribosomal RNA is filed under the name uncultured bacterium. RNAcentral's name for it is "partial 16S ribosomal RNA". It matches the Rfam family "Bacterial small subunit ribosomal RNA", at positions 524 to 776 of the family's 1533-position model. The record is from RNAcentral.
UACGUAGGGUGCAAGCGUUAAUCGGAAUUACUGGGCGUAAAGCGUGCGCAGGCGGUUAUGUAAGACAGGUGUGAAAUCCCCGGGCUUAACCUGGGAAUGGCAUUUGUGACUGCAUAGCUAGAGUGUGUCAGAGGGGGGUAGAAUUCCACGUGUAGCAGUGAAAUGCGUAGAGAUGUGGAGGAAUACCUAUGGCGAAGGCAGCUCCCUGGGAUAACACUGACGCUCAUGCACGAAAGCGUGGGGAGCAAACAGG